This 253-nucleotide ribosomal RNA is filed under the name uncultured bacterium. RNAcentral describes it as "partial 16S ribosomal RNA". It matches the Rfam family "Bacterial small subunit ribosomal RNA", at positions 524 to 776 of the family's 1533-position model. The record is from RNAcentral.
UACGUAGGGUGCAAGCGUUAAUCGGAAUUACUGGGCGUAAAGCGUGCGCAGGCGGUUCUAUAAGACAGAUGUUAAAUCCCCGGGCUCAACCUGGGAACUGCAUUUGUGACUGUAGAGCUGGAGUACGGUAGAGGGGGAUGGAAUUCCGCGUGUAGCAGUGAAAUGCGUAGAUAUGCGGAGGAACACCGAUGGCGAAGGCAAUCCCCUGGACCUGUACUGACGCUCAUGCACGAAAGCGUGGGGAGCAAACAGG